Molecule: ribosomal RNA, 502 nt
Filed under: Salmonella enterica
Lineage: Bacteria; Pseudomonadati; Pseudomonadota; Gammaproteobacteria; Enterobacterales; Enterobacteriaceae
Description: partial 23S ribosomal RNA
Rfam family: Bacterial large subunit ribosomal RNA
Source: RNAcentral
GCGACUAAGCGUACACGGUGGAUGCCCUGGCAGUCAGAGGCGAUGAAGGGCGUGCUAAUCUGCGAUAAGCGCCGGUAAGGUGAUAUGAACCGUUAUAACCGGCGAUACCCGAAUGGGGAAACCCAGUGUGAUUCGUCACACUAUCAUUAACUGAAUCCAUAGGUUAAUGAGGCGAACCGGGGGAACUGAAACAUCUAAGUACCCCGAGGAAAAGAAAUCAACCGAGAUUCCCCCAGUAGCGGCGAGCGAACGGGGAGGAGCCCAGAGCCUGAAUCAGCAUGUGUGUUAGUGGAAGCGUCUGGAAAGGCGCGCGAUACAGGGUGACAGCCCCGUACACAAAAGCGCAUGUGCUGUGAGCUCGAUGAGUAGGGCGGGACACGUGGUAUCCUGUCUGAAUAUGGGGGGACCAUCCUCCAAGGCUAAAUACUCCUGACUGACCGAUAGUGAACCAGUACCGUGAGGGAAAGGCGAAAAGAACCCCGGCGAGGGGAGUGAAAAAGAA